Molecule: ribosomal RNA, 314 nt
Filed under: uncultured bacterium
Lineage: Bacteria
Description: partial 16S ribosomal RNA
Rfam family: Bacterial small subunit ribosomal RNA
Source: RNAcentral
UUAUAAGAGACAGCAGUCGCCGCGGGAAUACGUAGGGUGCAAGCGUUAAUCGGAAUUACUGGGCGUAAAGCGUGCGCAGGCGGUUAUAUAAGACAGAUGUGAAAUCCCCGGGCUCAACCUGGGAACUGCAUUUGUGACUGUAUAGCUAGAGUACGGCAGAGGGGGAUGGAAUUCCGCGUGUAGCAGUGAAAUGCGUAGAUAUGCGGAGGAACACCGAUGGCGAAGGCAAUCCCCUGGGCCUGUACUGACGCUCAUGCACGAAAGCGUGGGGAGCAAACAGGAUUAGAUACCCGCGUAGUCCCUGUCUCUUAUAC